GAGCUGAAUAUGCGAUUACCGUCUAGCGUGAGACCUCCUGUGCAUACUUGGAAAGUUUCAAUCUGCUCACGACUACACACGAUCGAGAUGGCCGCAGCAGACUAAAAAACUGAUAUCAGUGAAAGGAAUGUCGAAUGAACUCGUAUUUAAGAACAUAAGUGACAAAAGGCGGCGAACGUUAUGAAAAUUGUGUCAAUGACAGUCCCCGCAUACAAGCCUGAUCCUGUGUUGAAAGAUGCUCCAAGCAGUAACAAGAGGAGCGUUAUCGGUCCUCCGCACUCAAAAGAGAUACGUCCGCGAAAAUCAAAUAGCGCAUUGGUUUACAAAAGCUUUUGUCACCUCUGAACAAUGGUCGCACAAUACCUUACCAAAAAUGCUUUGGUCACAACUCUUUGUUAUCUUUUACCGUGCUUUAUUUUUCCGGAUCAAAAUUGUUACUAGUUGAAUAGGAAAUGCCGCUGCUUCUUCCAAACUGUCGCUGAUCGUUUCUUAUUUAUCCUCGUCGCCACUAAUGGGUUCCGGAUCAUCGUGGGAAAUUACUAAAU
This is a long non-coding RNA of Toxorhynchites rutilus septentrionalis, 545 nucleotides long. RefSeq lists it as uncharacterized. The transcript has 3 exons. The record is from RefSeq and is a predicted model, not a curated record. NCBI's taxonomy places the organism in Eukaryota, Metazoa, Arthropoda, Insecta, Diptera, Culicidae.